GACAGAGGGUGCAAACGUUGCUCGGAAUCACUGGGCGUAAAGGGCGUGUAGGCGGGCAGGAAAGUCAGAUGUGAAAUCCCCAGGCUCAACCUGGGAACUGCAUUUGAAACUCCCUUUCUUGAGUACCGGAGAGGAAAGUGGAAUUCCUGGUGUAGAGGUGAAAUUCGUAGAUAUCAGGAGGAACACCAGUGGCGAAGGCGGCUUUCUGGACGGUAACUGACGCUGAGACGCGAAAGCGUGGGGAGCAAACAGG
RNAcentral lists this ribosomal RNA (253 nucleotides) under uncultured bacterium. Its description in RNAcentral is "partial 16S ribosomal RNA". It matches the Rfam family "Bacterial small subunit ribosomal RNA", at positions 524 to 776 of the family's 1533-position model. The record is from RNAcentral.